GUCUCGUUUCUUGCUCCGACCGCCGCGGCUCCCCUCUCCACAAAUGGCUUCUUGCCCUUUCCUCUUUACCCCACGAUCCCCUCCUCUCAUCGCCACACACCGCCGCCCAACCCUCGCGAGCCGCGCCCACCUCCCAGUCUCCAGCCGCUCCCGCCUCAGCCGCAGGGAGGGAUGCCCCUGCCGCUGCGCCUCUUCAUCCUCUUCCGGUCGUGACGGGCCUCAAGAGCGCCCGCCCAGGUCUCGACAGCGAAAGCAGAGGACGCAGCGCCCCAGUCGUGACGACGCCAUCGACCCUGUUGGGUUCCUCGCCAAGCACGGCAUCUCCGACCGCGCGUUCGCCCAGUUCCUCCGUGACCGGUACAAGGCUUUGAAAGACCGUCGAUGGGAGCUGCACUCUCGGCUUAUUGAUCUGAAAGAGGCAUCUUCUGGGUUUGAGUUAAUGGGCAUGCAUCGACAUCGGCAGCACCGCAUGGAUUUCAUGGAGUGGGCACCAGGUGCACGUUAUUGUUCCCUUGUUGGUGAUUUUAAUCAGUGGUCAAUCACUGAAAAUUGUGCACGAGAAGGUCAUUUGGGUCAUGAUGAUUUUGGAUAUUGGACUAUCAUACUUGAAGAUAAUCUUAAGGAAGGGCAAGAACCAGAUGAAUAUUAUUUCCAGGAGUACAACUAUGUGGAUGAUUAUGACAAAGGUGACAAUGGUGUUGAUGUGGAAGAAUUGAUUCGUAGAAUGAAUGAAGAGUAUUGGGAACCUGGAGAAGUUAGGUCACAGAAGUCUCGAUUAGAGGUGGUUGCUAAGCUAUAUGAGCAAAUGUUUGGUCCAAAUGGUCCACAGACAGACGAGGAGCUAGGUGACAUACCUGAUGCUGAAACAAGAUAUAAUGAGUGGAAAGCCUUGCAGAAGGAUGAUUCAGCAAGUUCGUUACCUUGCUACGAUAUAAUUGAUAAUGGGCAGGAGUUUGACAUUUUCAACGUUGUAACCGAUCGAGUGUCAUUUGAAAAAUUUCAAGGAAAAUCACCACCUCUUGCUUACUGGGUUGAAAUGAGAAAAGGGCGUAAAGCAUGGAUGGAGAAAUAUGUUCCAGCAAUUUCUCAUAAAGACAAGUACCGUGUUUACUUUAAUACUCCUGAUGGUGCUUUGGAACGUAUUCCUGCUUGGGCUACUUAUGUUCUUCCAGAUGCUGUAGGUAAGCAGUCCUAUGCAGUACACUGGGAACCUCCUCCAGAAGAAAUUUAUAAGUGGAGAUUUGGACGACCGAAAGUCAAAGGUUCACUUAGGAUAUAUGAAUGCCAUGUUGGAAUAAGUGGAUCUGAGCAAAAAAUAUCGUCAUUCCAGGAGUUCACAUCAAAUGUCCUGACUCAUAUAAAAGAUGCUGGCUAUAAUGCUAUUCAACUAAUUGGAAUUCUGGAACACAAGGAUUACUCCUCUGUGGGCUAUAAGGUCACCAAUUAUUUUGCAGUCAGUAGCAGAUUUGGCACACCUGAUGACUUCAAAAAGUUGGUGGAUGAGGCACAUGGCCUUGGAUUAGUGAUUCUUCUUGAUAUUGUCCACUCCUAUGCAUCGUCAGAUGAAUUGGUUGGCUUAUCCCUUUUUGAUGGCUCUAAUGAUUGUUACUUCCACAGCGGAAAACGAGGGCACCACAAAUACUGGGGUACCAGAAUUUUCAAAUAUGAUGAUGUUGAUGUUCUACACUUUUUGUUGUCUAAUUUAAAUUGGUGGGUCACCGAAUACCGUAUUGAUGGAUUCCAGUUUCACUCCCUACCUUCUAUGUUAUAUACUCAUAAUGGCUUUUCUACUUUUACUGGUGCCAUGGAAGAGUAUUACAAUCAAUAUGUUGACAAGGAUGCGCUGAUAUAUUUAAUUAUAGCAAAUGAGAUGUUACAUGAGCUUCAUCCAGAUAUUAUAACAAUAGCUGAGGAUGCAACAUUUUAUCCUGGGCUAUGUGAGCCAACCACUCAAGGCGGAUUAGGAUUUGAUUACUGGGUCAAUCUUUCAGUUCCAGAAAUGUGGUUGUGGCAUCUUGAAAAUGUUUCGGAGCAUGAAUGGAGCAUGACUAAGAUUAUGGAAGUGCUGGUAAGCAUCAAUAGCAAUAUGCUAUCUUACGUCGAAAAUCACAACCAGUCAAUAUCAGGGCGGAAAUCUUUUGCUGAAAUAAUUCUUCAGAAAGAAAAACACUCAAAUAGUUCUGUUGACGAUGGUUUGGUUUUCAGGACUUCCUCGUUGCUCAAUCUAAUCAAACUAAUUACUUUCACAACAAGUGGAGGUGCAUAUCUCAACUUCAUUGGCAAUGAAUUUGCACAUCCAAAGAGAAUUGAGUUUCCUAUGUCAAGCAAUGACUAUUCCUUCCGCCUAGCUAAUCGCCAAUGGGAACUGCUGGACAAGGGUAUCCAUAAGCAUAUAUUCAACUUUGACAAGGAUAUCAUGAGCUUGGAUGAAAAAGAAAAGCUAAUUUCUAGAGGUUCACCCAAUGUUCAUCACUGUGAUGACACUAGCAUGGUCAUAUCUUUUACUAGAGGACCUUUCCUUUUUGUUUUCAAUUUCAAUCCUGAUGCAUCCUAUCAGCUCUAUUCUGUUGGUGUGGAUGAAGCCGGUGAAUAUCAGCUUAUAUUAAACACUGAUGAAACUAAAUAUGGUGGACGUGGGGUGCUCAAGAGCAAUCAAUAUAUGACAAGAACAAGUGACAACAGGGUUGGUGGUUGCCGCAACUCGUUGGAAUUAACAUUACCAUCUAGAAGCGCUCAGGUAUACAAGUUGGUCCGGAUUUUGAGGAUCUAGAUUCUCAAGGGUGUGAGCAUUGUUGAUAGACCACACAAUUCAUGUCCUCAGAAGUUCGAACUUCACUAUCCAUAUCUGCGCUCUUGCAACCUUAAAGACAGCUGGCAAAACAUUAGAUUGGAACGCCUUACAGUUACAAGUCUAGUAGCCUGUGCCUCCAGUGCAGCGCUAGGUUAGUAAGAAGUCUUUGCACAUGCCAGUACUUCCAGCAGGAAUUCGACUCUGAAUACUCUACAAAACUAGUACAUAAGUAGUGACAUGGAUCCUUCAGGUAUGAAUGUGCAUGGGUUGAUGUUCAACAGCUGAGAUUGAUCCCUUUGCUGGUUGCCUGGUUCUUUGACCCUGUGUUUUCUUCCUGUGUGGCACAAUGCGUAAAGUCUUGUAGCAUUUAGACAUCAAAUUACCUAUCUUACGCACUCUGUACCUUCAUUUGAUGCUAGUGUGGCUAGUUAUUUAAAAGUAGCAUCCUAUAUUAGUAGGACAGAACAGACAUCACAGUACUGGGAUGCCUUGUUGGUUUUUUGGGCACAUGAGAUAGUUACAUCUGUAUUCACAACUCACAAGAAUAUAAAGCAAAGUUCGAAAGUUAGGUGUGUUAGAACAAGAUG
Molecule: RNA transcript, 3378 nt
Organism: Oryza brachyantha (malo sina)
Lineage: Eukaryota; Viridiplantae; Streptophyta; Magnoliopsida; Poales; Poaceae
Gene name: 1,4-alpha-glucan-branching enzyme 3, chloroplastic/amyloplastic
Exons: 22
Source: RefSeq, a predicted model, not a curated record